UACGUAGGGGGCAAGCGUUGUCCGGAAUGACUGGGCGUAAAGGGAGUGUAGGCGGCUCAUCAAGUUAGAUGUGAAAUCCCGCGGCUCAACCGCGGAACUGCAUUUGAAACUGUCAGUCUUGAGUACCGGAGAGGUCAUCGGAAUUCCUUGUGUAGCGGUGAAAUGCGUAGAUAUAAGGAAGAACACCAGUGGCGAAGGCGGAUGACUGGACGGCAACUGACGGUGAGGCGCGAAAGCGUGGGGAGCAAACAGG
Molecule: ribosomal RNA, 253 nt
Filed under: uncultured Oscillospira sp.
Lineage: Bacteria; Bacillati; Bacillota; Clostridia; Eubacteriales; Oscillospiraceae
Description: partial 16S ribosomal RNA
Rfam family: Bacterial small subunit ribosomal RNA
Source: RNAcentral